This is a long non-coding RNA of Trichomycterus rosablanca, 254 nucleotides long. RefSeq lists it as uncharacterized. The transcript has 3 exons. NCBI's taxonomy places the organism in Eukaryota, Metazoa, Chordata, Actinopteri, Siluriformes, Trichomycteridae. The record is from RefSeq and is a predicted model, not a curated record.
ACAUCUGUAAACACGUCACAUUUAAAUAGAUGGAAGAAGGGAAGCUUCACCCUGUACAUGAAUCUGUGAGACAGGACUACUCAUCGGGGACGGCUGUUUACUCAUUAUUUGGGUCAUGGCGGACCAGUGAAACAGAUGGACAAAUGGACAGUUUUGAAAGCUCGGACAGUACGCUCAGCUUGCACUCUUGCACUAAUGAUGACCCUCAGUAUCUGUCUGCGGGAGAAAAAGCUUGUCUCAUUUUCUUGGAGGAG